Long non-coding RNA from Neopelma chrysocephalum (saffron-crested tyrant-manakin), 1056 nucleotides. RefSeq lists it as uncharacterized. The transcript is spliced from 3 exons. NCBI's taxonomy places the organism in Eukaryota, Metazoa, Chordata, Aves, Passeriformes, Pipridae. The record is from RefSeq and is a predicted model, not a curated record.
GGGCAGGGAGCGAGGGAGUCUCUCCAGAGUACUGGGAGGGCGACAGAGACAGAAGGAUUAGAGAUUAUUUUUGCCAAAAUCUGGAGCGCGGGUCAAAAUUCCCGGACGUCACGACUCUGCUGUCAACAGAUGGCUGAAACUACUUUACUUCCCAUAAAGGCAAAGGAAUACCUUCGAGUCCAGGAACUGUGGUAAUUAAUGCCACCUAGUCUUUACCAUUCAUGUAUUUCCUACUGAUCCUUAUAAGUUGGGAAAAAUCACUUGGAUUUUUCUGAAGUGUAUUUUUAAGGAGGGCACCCGGUUUUGAUUUGAAGCCAUGAAGAGGCUGAAAGUUUGUUAAUUGUCCUUGGUAAUUUGUUGCAAUUGUUUCAAAUAUAUUCCUUUUAUUUGGACCUGCCCUCUGUUAAACCUUCUCUCUCUUAAAUCAGAGAUCUUCAUGAUACGUGGCAUUUGGUCAUCACGAAACUGUCAACUCAGCACCCAACUUUGUUUUGAUAAGCUGAAGAAAUCAAACUCUUUGAGACUUUCAUUUUAAGACAUUUUCUCCUGUUUUCAAAAAGUCAUGGAGCAAACUUGUAUAUCAGGCCUCUGACUAUCUACUUGGCUUGUUCACCAACACCCUGAGACAAGGCUUGAUGCACAUUUCUGAUGUGAUUUGGCAGGUUCUGCGAAAAUAACCCCAAGAGUUGCUGCUUUAUUGCUUGUCACACAAUAUUCAGACAUUUUUCAUUCAGUUGUAUAUUCUUUACAUAAUCUUUUUUUUUGCCACUUUCUAGCUUUAUUCUUGCCAUCAAACAUUUCCAUUUAUUUUUCUAUUGGCUUCUUUCCUCAAGAUGAACCCCCUGGUAGGACGCAAAUCCAGACUACUUUCACGUCUUUCUAAGACUUUAUGUUUUAGUUACAAAGUUCCUUCUCUGCAACUGGGAAACUUCUCUGCCCCUACAGAUAUGGUUACAUAUACUUUUUAAAAUGUCUAUCAAAUACUGAAGUUGAUACCUCGCAGGGAUUCAGAGAAAAAAUUACAUUUUACAAUGUUUCUUCAGCUGCAAUAUUCGA